Molecule: long non-coding RNA, 1022 nt
Organism: Papaver somniferum (opium poppy)
Lineage: Eukaryota; Viridiplantae; Streptophyta; Magnoliopsida; Ranunculales; Papaveraceae
Exons: 2
Source: RefSeq, a predicted model, not a curated record
UCUUAUUCAUAGCUAGCAGCUGAUUGAAACUUAGGUGCCCAUCUUUUGGUAUACUGAUGUAGCACAACUAUGAUCGUAGGUGAUGCUUACAAGCUUUGGCACCAAUUCCUGCUGAAAACUUGCUUUGUGAUUUUGUUGAGGCACUUGUUCUUUCAGAUAUACCCAUGAUGACUAUAAGACAUAGCUUCAUUGUUUUCACCUGACUCAUCUCUUUGUUUCAUGUUUUAGUAUUGAGUCUGCCAAUGAUUUAUGAUCUUAGCUAACGGUUACAAAGCCAGUGUUUCAAGUAUCAGCCUCAUUUGCUUCAUAAUCUUAACAAUGUACAUUAAUGGAUUGCAUGUUCUCCUUGUUUUCCAGAUUGCUUCCUAAGGACUCACUCGCCAACUGUGAGGUUUCAUUGGCUGAUCUUUGAGGCAAUGAGGAUCAAGUGUGCAAGAAGUUCAGACUUAGAGUUGAGGAUGUUAAAAGAAAGAAUGUUCUUACCAAUUUCUGGGGAAUGGAUUUUACCACAGACAAGUUGAGACCUCUUGUAAGAAAGUGGCAGACAUUGAUUGAAAUGCAUAUUGAUGUCAAGACAACAGACAACUUCACCUCGAGGACAUUCUGCAUUAGAUUCACCAAGCAGCGAGACAAACAAGUCAAGAGAACCUGUUAUGCCCAAUCUAGCCAGAUUCGAGAGGUGAAGUUAUGUCUUUCGAUUUCAACAUUUUUUCAAGAUUGUUUCAUCGUUCUGCAGUAUAUUCACCAAGCAGUCAGACAAACAGGUCAAGAGAAUUUGUUAUGCUCAAUCUAGCCAGAUUCGAGAGGUGAAGUUGGGUCUUUCGAAUUCAACAUUUUCUUAUCAUUUCAUGUGAUUCAUGUGUGUAAGAUUCUUUUGUGACCCUAUUGGAAGAAUAGGGAAAUCAUGGUAAACCAACAUUUUCUUAUUAUUUCCUGAUUGUAUCAUCUGUACUUUGUGUUGUCGGAUUCUUCACAAGAUGGCUGAAAUCAUGGUAAACCUGGCCUCUUCAUGUGAUCUUAAA